CCUACGGGGGGCAGCAGUGGGGAAUUUUGCGCAAUGCUCGUAAGAGUGACGCAGCGACGCCGCGUGAAUGACGAAGGCCUUCGGGUCGUAAAGUUCUUUCGACAGGGAAGAAAAUGCCUAUAAGUAACUGUGUAUGUAUUGACGGUACCUGUAUAAGCAGCCCCGGCUAACUCCGUGCCAGCAGCCGCGGUAAUACGGAGGGGGCGAGCGUUGUUCGGAGUGACUGGGCGUAAAGAGCACGUAGGCGGUGUUGUAAGUCAUUAGUCAAAGACUAGAGCUCAACUUUAGUAAGGCUAGUGAUACUA
RNAcentral lists this ribosomal RNA (305 nucleotides) under uncultured bacterium. RNAcentral's name for it is "bacterial SSU rRNA". It matches the Rfam family "Bacterial small subunit ribosomal RNA", at positions 338 to 635 of the family's 1533-position model. The record is from RNAcentral.